Molecule: long non-coding RNA, 484 nt
Organism: Sphaerodactylus townsendi
Lineage: Eukaryota; Metazoa; Chordata; Lepidosauria; Squamata; Sphaerodactylidae
Exons: 2
Source: RefSeq, a predicted model, not a curated record
CUCCAUGAGGAAUCUCCACAGAGAGUCUGCUGCAGUACACAAAAUGUCUAAAACCUUUGAUAACAGUUGAACAGGCGGAUUAUCCAGGAGGAACAUAAGUAAGAGAGAAGACAGCAUGUAUUUCUGAACAUACAUUGUUGAAGACUCUUUAAACUUCAGUUAACCCAGGAAGAAAAAGAUGUAUCUUUUUAUAUUUUGACACAUAAGGGGGAAAGGGAGUCUAUUGGCUGAAAUUAAUGCAUGUGCACUUAAACUCUAUUUUUUCACACUUUAGUCCACACUCAACUGGGAACACAUAGCAAAGCACAGAGAGAAAAUGGAAACAGUUUUUGGCCAAAUUAAUAAAUCAAUCAUUAAACCUCAUCACCAGCAUUAAUUAAAUGUGGCAAUUGUUGUCCUGCUCAGUUGUUGAAACAUCCACCUUCAUAAUUUGCUCCAGUGGUGGAAUCUGAAAGAUCCAUCAUUUAAGAAAUCUUAUUUAGUG